RNAcentral lists this ribosomal RNA (795 nucleotides) under uncultured Pelagibacteraceae bacterium. RNAcentral's name for it is "bacterial SSU rRNA". It matches the Rfam family "Bacterial small subunit ribosomal RNA", at positions 41 to 884 of the family's 1533-position model. Lineage: Bacteria; Pseudomonadati; Pseudomonadota; Alphaproteobacteria; Candidatus Pelagibacterales; Candidatus Pelagibacteraceae. The record is from RNAcentral.
GGCACGCCUAACACAUGCAAGUCGAACGAAGUAGCAAUACUUAGUGGCAGACGGGUGAGUAACAUGUAGGUAUCUGCCCUUUGGCCUGGAAUAACACGAGGAAACUUGUGCUAAUACCGGAUAAGUCUUUACAGAGAAAGCUUUAUGCACCAUUGGAUGAGCCUGCACUUGAUUAGUUUGUUGGUGGGGUAAUGGCCUACCAAGACUGUGAUCAAUAGCUGAUUUGAGAGGAUGAUCAGCCACAUUGGGACUGAGACACGGCCCAAACUCCUACGGGAGGCAGCAGUGGGGAAUCUUGCACAAUGGAGGAAACUCUGAUGCAGCGAUGCCGCGUGAGUGAAGAAGGCCUUUGGGUUGUAAAGCUCUUUCGUCGGGGAAGAAAAUGACUGUACCCGAAUAAGAAGGUCCGGCUAACUUCGUGCCAGCAGCCGCGGUAAUACGAAGGGACCUAGCGUAGUUCGGAAUUACUGGGCUUAAAGAGUUCGUAGGUGGUUGAAAAAGUUGGUGGUGAAAUCCCAGAGCUUAACUCUGGAACUGCCAUCAAAACUUUUCAGCUAGAGUAUGAUAGAGGAAAGCAGAAUUUCUAGUGUAGAGGUGAAAUUCGUAGAUAUUAGAAAGAAUACCAAUUGCGAAGGCAGCUUUCUGGAUCAUUACUGACACUGAGGAACGAAAGCAUGGGUAGCGAAGAGGAUUAGAUACCCUCGUAGUCCAUGCCGUAAACGAUGUGUGUUAGACGUUGGAAAUUUAUUUUCAGUGUCGCAGCAAAAGCGAUAAACACACCGCCUGGGGAGUACG